Molecule: ribosomal RNA, 605 nt
Filed under: uncultured archaeon
Lineage: Archaea
Description: bacterial SSU rRNA
Rfam family: Archaeal small subunit ribosomal RNA
Source: RNAcentral
CCAGGCCCUACGGGGUGCAGCAGGCGCGAAACCUCCGCAAUGUGAGAAAUCGCGACGGGGGGAUCCCAAGUGCCAUUCUUAACGGGAUGGCUUUUCAUUAGUGUAAAGAGCUUUUGGAAUAAGAGCUGGGCAAGACCGGUGCCAGCCGCCGCGGUAACACCGGCAGCUCUAGUGGUAGCAGUUUUUAUUGGGCCUAAAGCGUCCGUAGCCGGUUUAACAAGCCUCUGGUGAAAUCCUGCAGCUUAACUGUGGGAAUUGCUGGAGAUACUAUUAGACUUGAGAUCGGGAGAGGUUAGAGGUACUCCCAGGGUAGAGGUGAAAUUCUGUAAUCCUGGGAGGACCGCCUGUUGCGAAGGCGUCUGACUGGAACGAUUCUGACGGUGAGGGACGAAAGCUAGGGGCGCGAACCGGAUUAGAUACCCGGGUAGUCCUAGCUGUAAACGAUGCGGACUUGGUGUUGGGGUGGCUUUGAGCUGUCCCAGUGCCGAAGGGAAGCUGUUAAGUCCGCCGCCUGGGAAGUACGGUCGCAGGACUGAAACUUAAAGGAAUUGGCGGGGGAGCACCACAACGCGUGGAGCCUGCGGUUUAAUUGGAGUCAACGCCGG